UUUCUAAAUAAAAUUUUAUGAGUGUGGGAUAGGACUUUAAGAACUUAUUUUCACAUCAACCAUCAGCAAACUUCCUAUCUGUCUCUCAUCAGAGUGGCGCAGUGGAAGUGUGUUGAACUCUAACCACACUGGUAUGAUUUCUCUCUUCAAACCAAAAGGAGGAAAUUGAUGGUGUGAUAAAUCGGUGACUUGUAUCUUAAUGUUAUACUUAAGAGUAGUCACUUGGAAUUCUUGGGAACAUGUUGGGUACCUGCGAGAACUAGAACUAAAACAUAACAAUUCGUAACAAAACUAAUGACUGAAUAUACUACUAAAAGAAUUCCUAAUCACCAUCAAUACCAUAACUCUCUGAGCCCAUUACAACCAAUUUAAUUAAAAAGAAAGUUAGGAAACUAAUGAAUUAAAUUAGAAACCUGAAACCUAAGGCUUAAUAUGGUUGUAGAUGAAACAAUACUUCUUUAACCAAACUAAUUAUUUUCAAGAAACUUUGAAUAAAAUACCAUCAAACCUAAUAUCUUAAACAAAGAAAUGCACCUACAAAUGAAAUUCCUAAAGCACGUGUU
Molecule: long non-coding RNA, 563 nt
Filed under: Carica papaya (papaya)
Lineage: Eukaryota; Viridiplantae; Streptophyta; Magnoliopsida; Brassicales; Caricaceae
Description: long non-coding RNA (CPAP_LNC016260)
Source: RNAcentral